This is a long non-coding RNA of Salvia miltiorrhiza (redroot sage), 679 nucleotides long. RefSeq lists it as uncharacterized. Lineage: Eukaryota; Viridiplantae; Streptophyta; Magnoliopsida; Lamiales; Lamiaceae. The transcript is spliced from 2 exons. The record is from RefSeq and is a predicted model, not a curated record.
UUUCUUAAGCACUCCCAUCCCAAUUCAUUCUUCCCUCAUACACUGCUAUCUCCCGCUAUAGGAAUUUUGAACCCGCCGCGCUCAGCCGUAGCUUCCGUUCUCGCUCGCCGCCCCUCUCCGUUGUUAUCGCGCACCGCUGUAGUCUUGUCUUCUGUGCGGCUAGAUUAUUUCUUCUCAUACCCACUCUCUGUCGCUCUAAAUAAUCGAACCCGCCGCCUCAAACCCUAGCCACGCGGUUCUCGCCGCCCUCUUCACCAUUCUCGCGCUCAAACCCUCUUCGUCCGGUCAACCCGCCACUCCCCGUCUCAAGCAGGCAUAGUCGCACAUCCGCCCUCUGCCUCGGCCGUCGGCCUCUUCCCCAUUGCCAACCGCCGCCCUCCUUCUCUGUCUUCACUUCUACACGUCCGUUGUGCUGCCGUCACUGCUCCGCUUUUUUGAUGCUCCAUUGUUCGCUGCUCUGUUCUAGAUUGACCGGUAAAAUGAAGAAGCUCGUUCAUUGAAGACAUGGAUAUUAAAUAGUCAAUGAUUUGUACGAUUCAAACAUUAUUGAAUUCUUGUUGUAAAUAUAUUAAUAUUAUGAUGUGUAUGUAUGUAGGAUUUUCAACGUUGAAUGUUUAAUGUAUGUAAAAGUUGGAUGUUUAGUUAUGAAUGAUUAAUUGAUAUAUCAAUGUUUUAGAUA